UGGGGUAUAUUGCACAAUGGGCGAAAGCCUGAUGCAGCGACGCCGCGUGGGGGAUGAAGGCUUUCGGGUUGUAAACCUCUUUCGCUAUCGAACAAGGCCCGCUUAGGGUGGGUUGAGGGUAGGUGGAGAAGAAGCGCCGGCUAACUACGUGCCAGCAGCCGCGGUAAUACGUAGGGCGCGAGCGUUGUCCGGAAUUAUUGGGCGUAAAGGGCUUGUAGGCGGCUUGUUGCGCCUGCUGUGAAAACGCGGGGCUUAACUUCGCGCGUGCAGUGGGUACGGGCAGGCUGGAGUGUGGUAGGGAUGACUGGAAUUCCAGGUGUAGCGGUGGAAUGCGCAGAUAUCUGGAGGAACACAGAUGGCGAAGGCAGGUCACUGGGCCAUUAAUGACGCUGAGGAGCGAAAGCAUGGGUAGCGAACAGG
Molecule: ribosomal RNA, 420 nt
Filed under: bacterium
Lineage: Bacteria
Description: partial 16S ribosomal RNA
Rfam family: Bacterial small subunit ribosomal RNA
Source: RNAcentral